CACAUGAGGAUAAAGUAGUCGUCCUCCCCUCAGGAGGAUGCAGCAGUAAGAAACCAUCUUGGAAACAGAAAGCAGCUCUCAUCAGACAACCGAACCUGCACAUGCCUUGAUUUUGGGAUUCCCAAACUCCAGAACUAUACAGAAAUGGAGGCAUGGAGAUGGAAGAUAAUUGACCACGACUAUAAUAAAUGAUGCUUGUAUUAGUCCAUUUUCACGCUGCUGAUGAAGGCAUACCCGAGACUGGGAGGAAAAGGAGGUUUAAUGGACUUACAGUUCCACAUGGCUGGGGAGGCCUCACAAUCAUAGCAGAAGGUCUCCUUUCUGAAAAGUCUCACUUCAAGCCAUGGUGUAUAAAAGCUGACUUACUGCUGGGUAUGUGUGUCCAACAGAAGCACUGUGUCUACCAAUGUCUAUGGAGAGG
Molecule: long non-coding RNA, 421 nt
Organism: Pongo pygmaeus (Bornean orangutan)
Lineage: Eukaryota; Metazoa; Chordata; Mammalia; Primates; Hominidae
Exons: 4
Source: RefSeq, a predicted model, not a curated record